Sorex araneus (European shrew) is the source of this 193-nucleotide small nuclear RNA. RefSeq annotates it as U2 spliceosomal RNA. The record is from RefSeq and is a predicted model, not a curated record. Lineage: Eukaryota; Metazoa; Chordata; Mammalia; Eulipotyphla; Soricidae. The transcript has a single exon.
AUCGCUUCUUGGCCUUUUGGCUAAGAUCAAGUGUAGUUUCUUACAUUGUGUAGGAUUAUAGUAAGCACUGAAACAGAUAGAGUGAAUUCUUCAACUUCUUUUUUUUCCCAAAUAGUUUUGGAAAUCCUGGUUCUUUCCAUAUAUAACUCAGAAUCAGCUUGUCAAUAUCUCUAAAAGAGCCUGAGUAAAGGAC